This 448-nucleotide ribosomal RNA is filed under the name uncultured prokaryote. RNAcentral describes it as "bacterial SSU rRNA". It matches the Rfam family "Bacterial small subunit ribosomal RNA", at positions 355 to 796 of the family's 1533-position model. The record is from RNAcentral.
UAGGGAAUCUUCCGCAAUGGACGAAAGUCUGACGGAGCGACGCCGCGUGGAGGAAGACGGCCUUCGGGUUGUAAACUCCUUUUAUAGGGGAAGAAUAAGGAUAUUAGGAAAUGAAUAUCCGAUGACGGUACCCUAUGAAUAAGCCACGGCUAACUCUGUGCCAGCAGCCGCGGUAAGACAGAGGUGGCGAACGUUACCCGGAUUUACUGGGCGUAAAGGGCGUCUAGGCGGCUUGACAAGUCUUCUGUGAAAGCCCCCUGCUUAACGGGGGAGGCCAGUGGAUACUAUCAAGCUAGAGGAUCGGAGGGGGAAGCGGUACUACUGGAGGAGCGGUGAAAUGCGUAGAGACCAGUAGGAACCUCGAUAGCGAAGGCAGCUUCCUGGCCGAUUUCUGACGCUGAAGCGCGAAAGCGUGGGGAGCAAACCGGAUUAGAUACCCCCGUAGUCC